Molecule: long non-coding RNA, 1561 nt
Filed under: Oryctolagus cuniculus (rabbit)
Lineage: Eukaryota; Metazoa; Chordata; Mammalia; Lagomorpha; Leporidae
Description: lncRNA (ENSOCUG00000034875.1)
Source: RNAcentral
GAUUCCUGAGAUGAUGAGUGUGUCAAGCACAUGUGGUCACCACACCUGACAGAGAUGCCGAGACCCAAGACACGUGUGACUGUGCUGGUGUGUGCGUGUGCACACGUGCCCUCGUGCAACGCGUUCUUCAGUCGCUGCCCUGACCCUGGAGGGAACCUGAAUCCGACUCCCCUACAGCUCUGCAGACUGCUCCUCCAACACCAGCUGCAAUGCCAAGGUGAGGGUGCAGAGAUGGAGCCAAGACAUCGUCCACUGCAGGCUGCAGUCCUGACCGCCCUGAACCUCUCAGGACGACCACAUCUUUAUGGCACUCAACCUCCAACAGGGCUUCAGCCAUCCUUCGUAGCUCUCCUCACCUUGGGAAGCCAGAGAUGCCACGGUGUGGAUAGAAGCAGCCUUCAUCUCAGAAAUGCCAGAGAUCCCGUGGAGCCUCUCGCCCACAGUUGCUUCCUCGCUUCCUCUUGGCGGUCCCCUGCGAGGUGCAGUCUGCCUCCUCCUGAAGCUGUGAGUAACCGUUCAGUGGUCAUUGUUUCCUCCUGUGGAGCCUCCAGUUUCAUGUGAAAAUGGUCUUUUAAAGCAGUUUGUUUCAGUUUCCUGAAGGUAGACAGCGAGUACUUGGAAGGACAGGACUGCGUGUCCCUAUAGUACUGAACUGUAAUUGAUACCUGUUACUCAGUUCUAGUUGAUUGCAUUUAGGAUCGAUGGUCAUAGGAAAUCAGUGGGUUACAUUGAAAAUAAUUUACUGGAAAUGUUAUAGUAUUUUUUAAACACCAUGAAUUGUGAUCUGCGUGGUUCUUCAGGAAAACUGGUAUAGGACAAUGUGAAAGAUAAGUGAAGCUUUCUCUGUCCAGUUCUUCCCUUAAAUCUCUCAUUCGUGGUCCUUAAAACAAGCAAACAACACAUCAAUUAGGCUUAUGAUUUGAUGUUUUAAUAGCUUUUGGGAAACAUGUUCUCACCUGCUCUGGAAACCAACACUUCUAGUACAGAGGCCAAGAACGGGUUAAAACCUGGUCACCUCACUAAUACCUUUAGUAUUAAGAACUCGGUCACCUCAUUAGGGCCUUGUUUAGGCCCCAGCAGUUCAGUAAUCCGGCAAGGCAUUAAUGAGGUGGCUGGGUUCUACCACACUUCUGGCUCUCACGAAGCCCAGUGUUUAAGGCAGACUGGGGCAUGUUCUGAAAAAUCUGUCAGACAUCCAUCAUGCAGCCCUACUGUGGAAGUGCUGUGAUUGUGAGCCUUGAUAAGGAUACUGUUGAUGCCCUCCUACCCUGUGUUAAAGGACAUACUUCAGAGGCAUUGUCAUUUAUCACACAGAAUGGUCCUGUGGAGAUGACUUUACUGUUCAACAGGUGGAGAAACUGGGACUCAGAAGUGCUAAUUUCCCCCGGGUCAUUGGCAGAAAAUGUCUGCCCGCUGUUAGUGUCCGCUACUUCCAGCCCUGGCUUCUUGGUUUGGGAGUACUGCCCAGGUGGUUUUGCAGUUACACCUGGUCGUGACUAACUGUGGACUUCUGCAGUGUGCUUUACAGUCUGGGAUCACAACAUAUUAUUGUAUCUGGAAG